Molecule: long non-coding RNA, 275 nt
Organism: Peromyscus eremicus (cactus mouse)
Lineage: Eukaryota; Metazoa; Chordata; Mammalia; Rodentia; Cricetidae
Exons: 3
Source: RefSeq, a predicted model, not a curated record
ACAUCAGUGAAGGUUGCUAUGAAACAGCUGUGAUGAUAAAGAUGGGUUCUUAGUGACAAGACAGAAGAUUGACUGUCGAGAAAGAAGACUACUUAGAGCAUCUGAACAAUAUGAAGAUGCUGAAGUUUAACAGUCAGGCCGGCCUGCUUGCUUCUUCUUGGAUUUGCCAUCCCCCUUCACCCCCAGUAGUGGAUGGACUUCUGCAGGAGGACAGACAGACACCCAUGAAACACAGUCCACGCCAUACCGGUCCACAGCCCAACCAGACCUUUGAG